UCUGCCUGUACUCGUGUCAGUCGAAUAUAUGACUGGAUUGGACACGUUUCCGGUAGGAUUACCUAAGAGGUCUUCAUAAUGACAGAGGUGGGUGAGAUUGACACAAUGAUCACUGAGGACAGAAAUGCGAUCAUCCAGGGGGACGACAAGCUUGAAGAAUUUGAACAGAGAGCGGAAGAACUCGAGGAAGUGACCACCCUUCUUUUUAAAAAAAUAAACCAUUCAAAGACUCAAGUUGGUCGUCGCUGUGAAACACCGAAACAAAAAAGUUGGAGGUCGCUAUGCUGCUGUAGCUGUAGUGAGCCUCGAGAAGACGCCCCAGGAGAAGAGAUAAAGACAUAACCGAAGGUGGUGAUAAUGGAUAAAUGCUGGCAGACCACACAGCCUAAACAUUUAACUGGGGCCUCCAUCUGCAUCCAAUUUCGCACUGGGGAAAUGUAUCUCUGCGGAAGUAAAUAGGAAGGAAAGGUUCACACUUGCAACAGAUCGGGCUUGUCAUGCAAUACCAGACAGUUUGUUCUUGUACUGAUCUGAAAGAGCUAGAGCUGUUUCACAAUGUAUAUUUGUAUUAUUAAAUGCCAGAAGAAUAUUUCCAUACACAGUGUUAACCAAAUCAUUAGAGACUUUGUAAUUUUGUUACCCGUAAAGAUCCGGUGUAGAAUAGGUCUUCAA
Haliotis rufescens (red abalone) is the source of this 672-nucleotide long non-coding RNA. RefSeq lists it as uncharacterized. NCBI's taxonomy places the organism in Eukaryota, Metazoa, Mollusca, Gastropoda, Lepetellida, Haliotidae. The record is from RefSeq and is a predicted model, not a curated record. The transcript has 5 exons.